CUCUUCAAUGUAUUAGGUCUAACCAACUCGUUGAAACAGUUAGCGGUAGUAUCUGUGUAAAAGAGGCUCGGCCUUACAACAAUCUACAAAGUUUGACCUCAAAUCAGGUAGGAAUACCCGCUGAACUUAAGCAUAUCAAUAAGCGGAGGAAAAGAACAACAGGGAUUGCCUUAGUAACGGCGAGUGAAGCGGCAAAAGCUCAAAUUUGAAAUCUGGCGUCUUCGGCGUCCGAGUUGUAAUUUGAAGAAGGCUACUUUGGGGCUGGAGUUUGUCUAAGUUCCUUGGAACAGGACGUCACAGAGGGUGAGAAUCCCGUGAGAUAAGCUUCCCAGUUCUAUGUAAAGUGCUUUCGAAGAGUCGAGUUGUUUGGGAAUGCAGCUCUAAGUGGGUGGUAAAUUCCAUCUAAAGCUAAAUAUUGGCGAGAGACCGAUAGCGAACAAGUACAGUGAUGGAAAGAUGAAAAGAACUUUGAAAAGAGAGUGAAAAAGUACGUGAAAUUGUUGAAAGGGAAGGGCUUGAGAUCAGACAUGGUAUUUUGCAAACCUUCUCUCUCGUGGAGGGGGCCCCUUGCAGUUUACUGGGCCAGCAUCAGUUUGGGCGGUAGGAUAAUGACUAAGGAAUGUGACUUGCCUUCGGGGAAGUGUUAUAGCCUUGGUUGAUACUGCCAGCCUAGACUGAGGACCGCGUCUUUGACAAGGAUGUUGGCAUAAUGAUCUUAAGCCACCCGUCUUGAAACACGGACCAAGGAGUCUAACGUCUAUGCGAGUGUUUGGGUGUAAAACCCGUACGCGUAAUGAAAGUGAACGUAGGUGAGAGCUCCUAGAGAGUG
This 829-nucleotide ribosomal RNA is filed under the name Millerozyma farinosa. Its description in RNAcentral is "LSU rRNA". The stretch from base 94 to 829 matches the Rfam family "Eukaryotic large subunit ribosomal RNA", at positions 1 to 755 of the family's 3401-position model. The record is from RNAcentral. Lineage: Eukaryota; Fungi; Ascomycota; Pichiomycetes; Serinales; Debaryomycetaceae.